Mus musculus (house mouse) is the source of this 5550-nucleotide long non-coding RNA. RefSeq annotates it as predicted gene 11816. The record is from RefSeq and is a predicted model, not a curated record. The transcript is spliced from 4 exons. Lineage: Eukaryota; Metazoa; Chordata; Mammalia; Rodentia; Muridae.
UCCCAAACCCCUCUUGCUGCCAUCAGUAAGUCAGUGAUGCUUCGUGUCCCCAACAGAUCUUAGCAGUAACUGAGAAAAUGCUCAUGGAAAUGCUUUGGAAAAGAAGUGAGAGACUGCAUGAUAGGAUUUCAACUACAUCUUAAGGCAUGGGACUUUCAGGAGGCUGCUGGAAUUAAAGGUGGCCACCUGACUUCAGAAUUCAUCAUUCAAUCCCUUCUGCCUCUGGGACUCUACCAAGAUUGUGUUUGUCCUAGCAGCAGCCUGACAGGCCGGAUGUCUUAUACAGUUUCCACUUGAGAAACUGGGACUCCAAACAGCAAAACAACGGGACCCGAGCUUAACUUUUGGUUUCGACUGAAGUGGAAUCCAGAAAUAAAUACACACGUGCCUCUGUGCUUGUCUCUCUCUCUGCAGCACCAGAGUCCUGACAGCAAAGACUCACAUGCAAAUUUGCAGCUCAGAAAACACAGGCAAGCAAUGGAUUUUCUUUAGGGAUCUUAAAGGGGCAGAUUGUGAAGUCUUGCUGAUGCUGCUGUGAGAUAAGUUAUGAUCAGAGGAAUCACUGAGUAAGGGUGUCAACUUGUGUCCCAAUGCAUAUGAAGCGGGUACACUAGAAUAACAACUCUGCUGGCUCUGGAAGUGCUGGCCAUGCUUACUUUAUGAAUGAGUAUGUGGUUCUUUUGUGUUUAACUCAUUCAGCUCAGCCUGGCAGCUGCAGAAAACUCGGAAACCACACAGAUUUCUGCUGUUGGAGCCUCCAUCUCUGAGCAAGACCAGCUGGAAUUCUGAGAUCUGUUACCUCUUAUUUCUUCAUGACAUCUUUGGGGAUACAUACAGACCAAACCUUAAAACGAAGUCAAACAUCGUACUCUGGUUCACUUCUUUAUGUGAACAGCACGACUCAGCGGUGCUCAGCGCACAGUGGUGCUCAGCACACAGUCCGUCCCAGCAGAUGGAAGCCUCGGAACACUGGCAAUUCAGCACAAUGACAUCAGCAUGGCUAUUCUCCAGAACCAAACUGUCUGGCUCCAGAGCCAAAAUAGCCAGAUGGUCCUGCCUUGAUUUAUCAACCAGGAAAUAGCCAAUGAUUGUGAAACCUCCCUGGACUUCUGAUAUUCUUAGAAAAAACAGGGGCAUGAGGCAACGGAAAGACAGACCAGAAGUUCUUUUAAAUGGCAUUGGUAAGGUUUUGGUAUAUUUUUCCAUUAUGUCUUCCUAUGAACAUAAAAUUUUUAUCCACGAUAUUGUUGUGAAAGUCCCAACCACAGUGGGCGUUCUAGCAAGUGGCUCCUUUCAUUUUUCCCAAUCAACAUUGAUAGUUGUGCUACCCAGCAAAGAGAUAAACAUGCAAAAGGCACCAUCUUCCCUGAUCUCAUGACACACGGUGACGUUGCAUAGCUGGGCUAUGACAACUGGCUCUGAAGUCACAUAACCAGGACACAACUUCCAUUCUGGCUUCACUAGCUAUGUGACAGUGAAUCCAGAUCUGUACCUUCUCAUAUUCUUGUACCAUGAAGUAUGAGAAAUGGCAGUAACCUUUAUAAUUUGAAGGUAUUGGGUGGCUAGAUGAGAUCAUACAAAUACCCAGUAGAAGAUGUGGUAAGCAAACGCUGACACCAUUGCAUACGCCAGUAAGAUUUUGCUGAAAGGACCCUCAUAUAGCUGUCUCUUGUGAGGCUACGCCGGUGCCUGGCAAACACAGAAAUGGAUGCUCACAGUCAGCUAUUGGAUGGAACACAGGGCCCCCAAUGGAGGAGCUGGAGAAAGUACCCAAGGAGCUAAAGAGGUCUGCAACCCUAUAGUUGGAACAACAAUAUGAACUAACCAGUACUCCCGGAGCUCAUAUCUCUAGCUGCAUAUGUAGCAGAAGUUGGCCUAGUUGGCCAUUAUUGGGAAGAGAGGCCCCUUGGUCUUGCCAACUUUAUAUGCCUCAGUACAGGGGAAUGCCAGGGCCAAGAAGUGGGAGUGGGUGGGUAGGGGAGUGGGUAGGUAGGGUAUGGGGGACUUUUGGGAUAGUAUUUGAAAUGUAAAUGAAGAAAAUACCUAAUGAAAAUUUUAAAAAUUGAAAAUAAAAGAAAAUGUGGUAAGCACCAAAAAGGUUAUCUGAUGAGCAGUGUGAUCUUACAUUUCUGUUAUAAUUGUUUUCACAAAACAAUGUGAACGAAAACUUGAUCGUUAGCCAUGGGGGCAGUGAAGUGAAGAUACUGGGAAUGAUUUUUAAAGGAAAAGGUGGAGGUGGGUGGAAUUUGGGAAGAGGUCAGAUAAUGGGACCAAUGCCAAAGAUGAUCCCAUAUUUUGGCAUGAGGGACUAGGUAGAGAGAUGAAGACAGAUACAUGGGUAUGUAGAGUCUGGGGCUCUAAAAAGGACAUUUAUCAAGGGAGUUCAUUUGUAUGAAAAAUCUGCCAUACAAAAGAGGAGGAUAUUAAAGUUACAGAGAGCAUCCACAAAACUUAUUUUGUAUGGAAACCAAUCUAGAGAAGCUGGGGUUUUUGUACUGUUGUUGCUUAAGGAGAUAAUGUCAAAGAGAACAGAUUGCCCUUUUGGAACAUCAACUUUGGAUUUAUUAAAAUAAUUGACCCAAUUUGAUGAGUGAAAUGCCUACUUCUAAAGUCCAGUGCAACUCAGAGGCUAUAGUUCUCUUGUAGUUUUGCUUUUGGGUGACAUUACAUCAAGGUCCUAAAACCUCCUUGAGGGCAUGUGGAAUGAAUUUUGACCUAUGAAGCAAUACAACCCCAGCAUGCACUGAUGAUGCUAUGUCAAAGCAAAGCCAAGUAAAGACACUAUCUACAUUUACCUACUCUGAUCCCAAUUGGCAGCAAACAGCAAGAGAAUCUUCCUGCCAUAGUGGUCACGAUUUUCCAGCACUCCGGGGAAUCCGUCGAUCAAAGCCCUCUUAAUCCCGGGAUCAUCUGCCUUAAAGUUUUUGAACAUGUCCAGGUUCAGCUGGCGGUACUGAAAGUACUGGGCCAGGAGUCUGAAGGCAUCGGCUUGGUGAAACUUCCUGGCUCGAAGAAAUCGCAGAAUGAAGGCAUCAUCUGUACGUAAAAACCCAAUGUCUGGUCUGGUGAUGAUCAUGUCUCUGACUUGUUGAAUGUCCUGAUGUAAAAUAUCUGGGUUUUCAUUCAGUUCCAGACGAGCUUUUUCUAUAGUGUCUGGACUGAGCCCAGCCUGCAAAUGCGUCAUCUUGGCCAAAUCUCCUUCCCAAGUGCUUAAGCUCUGAGGUGAGGGAAGAACAGAAACUGGUCCCAUUCACAUGGAAGUGUGCUGAAUCCGUGGCCCAUUCGAUGGCUCCCCUACAAGACUGCUCCCCAAACAGACGGGUACAGAGUCUUCUUUCUGUCCUUGGAGAACAGCAGGACAUUCAGGCCCUAUGUGGUGGUGGCCAUCCAAAAGAGGAGGGAAACCGAAGCCAUUGCUUACUGAAAAACAGAUGCACACAGGAGAAACAAGAGAGAGAGAGAGAUGAAGCAGAGAAUAUCCGGGCAAAUUCAUUGAAGUCUAGAUAGAAGAGUUCAUUGAAGUGUGGGUCUGAUGAGCAUAUACCUUGCAACUAAGCACAUAUAAUCCUUAGAUAGGACAUUUGGCCGUAUUAUUAACAACUUGAAUAGUUAACAUACAAAUAUUUGAAAUACAUUCACAAAAGUUUUAGUUACAGUGAGUGACUCCUUAAGAUAAUGGUCUGUAGUCAGAUUAGCGAUAGAGUGAUUUUUAUUAAUGAAUGGUUUUGUUGUUGAUGAUGCUAAAGCAUGCUUAUGUGGCUGUUCAUGGGCCUAAAUACAACAGAGAUGUUAUGGCUGCUAUACAAUUGAUUGGUUCCCAUUAGCCUCAUUUCUCACACAAGUAUCCCAGACAUAAAUAUGUCUCUCACAUUUUUUAAGGGCAGCCCUUCGCGGCUUGAGACUACUAAAGGUCACCCUAACCUAACCCUAAGGUGCCUAAUUAAUAGCAAGCGUGUUUCCACAGGCUAGGUUAUGCCAGACAAGUUCAGGGCUGGAAGCUUGACCUUCAGGAAGGACAUUUUGAGCCAUGAGAAAGGUUUGCAGGCUCAUGUGGAACUUGUGGUUUUGACUUCUUCCUGUCCUGCUAAGAAACCACAGGCACCCAAGGCUCUCAAUCUGCUCUCUACCUCACCCAUAUGGACUUCUAAAUCUGUCCAUUUGCUAUAAAUUUUCUAUUGUCCUCAGCUACUGUUUUACAAAGGAAAAGAAAAGAGUUUUGAUUAUCAUCUCAUUUCUCCUGGUAAAUGAUAAACAAAAGAAGAAAAUCACCUGUAUUCUUUGAAUCUUUCUUUGUAUACUUGAUCCAAGAUAUCUCUACAUUCACCAUUCUCUUAGACAGUCUGAUCAACAUCUUCUCACCAACAUACCAAAGAUGGAUGUAUCAUUGUUAUAGAAACAUAGGCACUAAUGACACAAGCAAGAGUCAUCUGAAAGGAGGAGCAUCAAGUGAGAAAUUCCUUUCAUAAGCUCAAGCUAUAGGCAAGUCUAUACAGAAUUUUCUUAAUAAUUGAUGCAGGAGGCCUAGCUCAUUGUGGGUGGUGCCACACCUAGGCUGAUAGUCCUAGGUGCUAUAAAAAAACACACUGAGCAAAGCAUGAGGAGAAAUCUAAUAAGUAGCACCCUUCCAUGGCCUCUACAUCAGUUCCUGCCUCCAGGUUCACACGUUCUUUGAGUUUCUGCCUUGGUUUCCCUCAAUGGACUGUGGUUCAGGAUACAUAAGGCAAAUAAAUCCUUUCUUCCCCAAGUUGCUUUUGUCCAUCGUGUUUCAUCAAUAGUAUCAGCAAUAGUAACCCUGGCUAAGAUAGAUACUAACAAUGAUGAUGCUGGAACAAACAAACUGGAAGGAUACCAAGCAGUCUAGACAGUAUUGAAUGGCACUCAUGUUGCUACAUACAAAAGUCAGUUUUCAGUUUCCAUUUUCGGUGACAUCCAUUAGUAUUGGACACCGACCUUUUCCUCCUUAGACCAUCUUCUCCUUCCCUCAUUCCUUUCUCUGUCCACAGGCCCUGGCCAUCCCUGCCCCCUGCAUCUUGUUUCCCCUGCUCAUUCUGCUCCCUAUGUGCAAGCCAAUACCACAAUCUUCAGGAUCCUGCCCCAUGAUCUGUCUACCUGCAAGCAAACAACUCCAGUCCCUAGCCUUCUUCUGAUCUCCAGGCUCCUUCUUCAGUUGCCCACUGAGCAUCUUCCUGCAAAUAACCUACAGAUACAAAGAUAGUAUGUUCAAAACUGAACUAUUCAUAGUUCCCAAUCCUCCAGUUUCAUCUCUUAGUGAAUGACAACAACUUCCAUGAAAGUUCACAUUUGGAAAUCUGAGAGACAUCUCUUAUUAUACCCUCUCUUUCUCCAUCCACUACUGGGCAGUCACAUUUUUAUUAGCUCUCAAAUCUUCCCAUCUUUUCAGAUCCACGGUUGUUGGCAUAACUGAGACCAUCACCCACCCCAGUGUUUAGACUGGAAACAGGCUUUCUACCAUAGCCUUUGUUGCCAAUUUAUUUUCUACAUUCCCACUACUCUGUAUUACAACUGAAAUAAACUCAUAUUGCACUGUGA